Long non-coding RNA from Callithrix jacchus (white-tufted-ear marmoset), 1263 nucleotides. RefSeq lists it as uncharacterized. The record is from RefSeq and is a predicted model, not a curated record. Lineage: Eukaryota; Metazoa; Chordata; Mammalia; Primates; Cebidae.
CUCCACCAGGAUCUGGUUGAAGAGGAGUUCCUCAGUGAUAGUCCUCUCUUGGAUUGCUUUGUUUUUUUUCUGGGAUGGCUGUACUGGAGACUUUGGAGUCAGGUGGAAGAUUUGGAAUAACGGUUAGAAACCCCAGGAAGAACUUAGAGUCUCCUCCUGGCUCACCUGCAUCCUCAAAUAAGCCUUCUGUCCAGUCCUAAUCUCCAGCCCAUCGACCUCCGCUGGAGGAAUGGGGGCCAGUGCUGGAAGGCCUGCAUGCUGGUCACCCAGUUUGCAGUCCACAUAGAGAUGUAGGGCAGGGCUGGGUCUGGAGGGGCCGCGGAGUCGCAGGAGAACUGUGUGUGUGCGUCCAUCGGCCAGGCCUGCUUGCUGGAGGUUCACGGCGUGGACUUUGCCAUCCUCCCGCUGGUACCGUACCAGUACUGCCCAGGAGGGGAGAUCAGUAUGGGCACUGUACCCCCAUCCCCUGCCUCCCAGUUGAGCCUUGGAUCAACUCUGCUGGAGACAUCUCUAGGGCCCCCAUCCCUAAUUCUACUAUGUAGCUCCCAACACCUUGUAUGCAAUAGGUACACAAUAAAUGUUUUUCAAAUUGGUGUAGAGGUGGGCCGUGAUGGCUCACGCCUGUAAUCCCAGCACUUUGGGAGGCUAAGGUGGGGAGAUCACCUGAGGUCAGGGGUUUAAGAACAGCCUGGUCAACAUUCGAAACACUGUUUCUUUAUUUUUUCUUUUUUUUUUAAUAGUUUCUUUCUUACCAAAAACCAGACGAAAUGCUUUUUCUACUAAAAUUACAAAAAUUAGCCAGGCUUGGUGGUGGGCAGCUGUAGUCCCAGCUACUUGGGAGGCUGAGACAGGAGAGUUGCUUGAACCAGGGAGGCGGAGGUUGCAGGGAGCUGAUCUUGUGCCACUGCACUCCACCCUAGGUGACAGAGUGAGAUGCCCUUUAAAAAAAAAAACUGGUUCCCAUAUAGUCUAGCAGUUAGGAUUCCUGGUUUUCACCCAAGUGGCCCAGGUUCGACUCCUGGUAUGGGAACCAAAAUAAAAAUAAAAAUAAAAAAUUGGUUUGGAGAAUAAGACUGAAGUAGUCUUCAGUGGUAUCAGAUGACUCUAUCCUCUCCUAGGGUGACAGCUGGUUUGUGCCCACUGAACUGUGCCAGGGAUCUGAAGGACCUUUCUGUAACACUGCUGAGGCAGAGACAUGCCUCACCCUCCCUCCAGGCAUCCCAAGUACAACCCAUCCCUAUAAAUACCAGGCCUCAAGCUUCA